AGAUGAGAUAUAGAACUAAAACUUUCAUGAGGAACACAAACCCAAAUUAUGCUAUUAACCAAGUCAUUUGGCCACCCCAAGUUGGUGACCUAAAACUGCGAAAACCAAAAUUGCCCAGAAAAUCUGGGUUGAGUCCAAUCCGGCAGCCAUGGUUCAAAUGGCUAUAACUUGAGCUAUAAAACUCCAAUUGGAGUGAUUCAAAAAGGAGAAUAAACUUAAGACAAUAGGGAACAUUUUCCAUGAAGAAAGUUUUGUCAAAUUCCAAUAGUAAGGUGACCAAUGGAACAGUGCAACCUUAGACACCAAAAUUGAAAAUUUAUCAAAUUUGCCUAAAAGACUUAGAAUUUGAAUAAACAACCAAAACCAACAAAUUUAGUGACCAAAAUGUGGUAUGUGGGUGAAGUUAGAAUUUCCAUACCUAUUAAGCCUUAGAAAGUCAACAAUUUGACUUGAAUAGUGUAGUGAAUAGUAACCCCGAAACACAAAAUUUCAAGAACGUCGAGUUUAGCACGUUAGAGCUAGGUAAAAGUGAAGUUAAAUUUAUUUUUGGAUUUAUGCUAAGUUAUGGUACUGAAACACUGUAAAAUUGUGUGUUUCAGUUGAAAAGAAUACCGGGAAAGAACCCGAGGAACCGAGUCAAGGCCAAGAGGCGACUCGCUUGAGAUAUAGAGACUAGAGGAGCAGCAGACUGAGCUGCUGAGGAUUGAGGAUUUAUCAGCUUGAAGUUAUCGGGUAUAAUUUAUACCCUGCCUGUAAAUAUUUAUUUUGAUGUAUGUAUUGCACAUAAAUGUAUGGACAUGUAAAUUCGGUAUUGAGCAGCUUGUACAAAGUUUGUAUAAAGUUGUAAUAAAAUUUAGUUUGGAUUUUCCCAAUGUAGAUUUUAGUAUGAUGUAUAUAUAGAUUGUUUGUCUUUAAUGAAUGAAAAUGUUUUAUUUUAA
Molecule: long non-coding RNA, 938 nt
Organism: Hevea brasiliensis (rubber tree)
Lineage: Eukaryota; Viridiplantae; Streptophyta; Magnoliopsida; Malpighiales; Euphorbiaceae
Exons: 2
Source: RefSeq, a predicted model, not a curated record